Molecule: long non-coding RNA, 925 nt
Organism: Photinus pyralis (common eastern firefly)
Lineage: Eukaryota; Metazoa; Arthropoda; Insecta; Coleoptera; Lampyridae
Exons: 3
Source: RefSeq, a predicted model, not a curated record
GGCGGCGAUCUCAGGUGUCGAGAUGUCGGAGCUGAUCGCCUCGGCUCAGCUGUACUCUAAUUUGGCCGGUAGCUGUAAGUUUAUCGAUUAGCGGGUUUUUAUCCGGGAGUUGGUGAAUGACACCAGCACUUCCGAAUACUCGGCCCGUCAGUGCGGUAUGGUACUUAUGCUAGAGGUGGUACACAGGAUGUGACACGGCCACGACCCCAGUACACCACGCUCUAGGUUGAAACAAAAUCAACGUUCGCAAACUGGGGGAAUGCAGGUCGAAGGCCCCACAGUUCCCAGUUUCCGUACGUUGACUCGCUUCGUAUCUAAGGUACUGGUGAUAGUAUGGUAACGAAAAGCAAGAUGUGACACGGCCACUACCUCCGCUUAACGUUCACAACCUUACGACUAAAUCAAGCAAGCGGGAGCUGGCUACAUGCGGGUCACAGGCCCCACAGGUAUCGAACUUCCGGGUGUUUGAGGGUUCGUCUUUCAAGGACUGGAUGAUUUCUAAUGAAUGGCGAGGUUAAGGGUGCAGGGACAGGUGGGUUAAGGAUAUAAGCGGAACGGAAACGGUCUGGAUUCAGGUUUUCGGUCAUCAAAUGACAGGAUAGAAGUGUCUUAUAAAAUCAAGGGAUCCUCCUUUUAUACAGCCAUGAUUAGGACUACGACUAGGAAGUGGAAAUGACACUUGGUUAGGUUAUCAUUUAUGAUUAGUUAGCGACAUCUAUUGAUGUCAAUGUAGUGCAUUUGUAAAGGAGCGUUUACACGCUCUAUAAAUAAAGGCACGGGUACAUAGUUACCUUACACCCUAUCUCAGUCUCAGUUGCCCCUGGUUUUUGCCGGCGAACCGUCUCUAUUAUGAGGUUAAAGAAAUUUAACUCUUUAAAUUUAUUUUAUUAUUUAUUAUUUCCCCAAGCAAUUAUGGCGUAAGACA